This 397-nucleotide unclassified non-coding RNA is filed under the name Anthonomus grandis grandis. RNAcentral describes it as "tHUMP domain-containing protein 1 homolog". Lineage: Eukaryota; Metazoa; Arthropoda; Insecta; Coleoptera; Curculionidae. The record is from RNAcentral.
UUCCGCGUUUGGUAUUUCUGGUAAAGCAGGGUUAUUAUUCAGUUCAAGUUCCACUUCUCGUCUAAUGGUUGCUAUAUCGAGUUUCUGGGAUAAGGUUGUUCCUUAGGAUUACACGCAUUAUUCUAUCUUUAGUAAUAUUAUCGGAUCCUAGGAUAUGGCAAAAUAUGACAUUGGAUUCCAAAAUAAAUGGCCCAGUGAAGCUUAAUAUGGAGCAGAAUUCAUCCUGUUUCUGUAUACUUUUUGACAGCCUCAAUGUCAAAACUUACUUUAAAUCUGAUGCCAAACCUGAGAGAAGUUCAAUUUAAGCAGCUUCAAUGCAUGACCAAUUUUGGAUCUUUUACAAAUCUUGUAGUCUGAAAUUUUUAAAGGCAAAUAGAAAAAUUGUAACUCCUGUAAA